AACGCACAUUGCGCCCUUUGGUAUUCCGAAGGGCAUGCCUGUUCGAGCGUCAUUAUCACCCCUCAAGCCCAGCUUGUCGUUGAACACGGCGACAUUCGGUUGUCGCCCGUUCCAAAGAUAAUGACGGCGUCUGUGAGGACUCCAGUACACUGAGCUUUCGGGCACGUACUUGGCUAGAAAUCCAGACCCGGUCUUUUUUACUUUAUGUAUUUUCUAAGGUUGACCUCGGAUCAGGUAGGAAUACCCGCUGAACUUAA
RNAcentral lists this unclassified non-coding RNA (257 nucleotides) under uncultured fungus. RNAcentral describes it as "partial contains 5.8S ribosomal RNA, internal transcribed spacer 2, and large subunit ribosomal RNA". The stretch from base 1 to 52 matches the Rfam family "5.8S ribosomal RNA", at positions 103 to 154 of the family's 154-position model. The record is from RNAcentral. Lineage: Eukaryota; Fungi.